AUGGUCGUGCGCCAGCUUAUUGAGGAUGGAGAGGCCGAGGAGGUUGAGCUCGUCGAGGUCGGCGUACAGCAACGAAGCGACGGACGCCAUCGCCCCAGGGAUGCUGGCGACGCGGAGGGCGACGAGCUUCCUCUCGGUGAGCAUGGAGACGACAACCGCGGCCGAUCUGCGCACGUCCAUCUCGGACGUGCUCUUCCAGCUGAGCAUCUGGACGAGCCGCUCGAUGGUGGACGCGGACAUGCCGAUCUUGCGGAUCAUGGGAUCAGCGAGGCCGUGGGACUCGGCGAGCGCGCCAAGGAUGCCGGCCCCGAGGCUCUGGUCGUCGUACGAGCCCGCGGUGAGCAUGUCGUCGGCGUAGGACACGAGGUUCAUGCGCAGGCCAUCGAAGAUGCUCUCAUUCAGGCUCCGGGAGUAAGACUCGUAGAAGAAGCGGCGGACGGCGACGAGGCCAGACGGGGUGGCGAGGUGGCACUCCAUGGCGACGCGCUCGAGGAGGCGCUGGUGCCCCACCCUCCACUGCCACAGGGCCUUCUCCACGAGGAACAGCAGCGACUCCAGGAGCGCGAGCCCGUAGAAUAUGUUGAGCGCGGCGCGGCGGUUGGUCCAGCUGUCGCCGCCGUAGCGCUGGGUGAGGAGGCGGACGAGGGAGACGGCGGCGCACACCUUGGCGGACAGCAGCUGGAGCCAGUGGAAGACGUGGCCGACGGCGGCCCACUACACGGGCGGGCGCCACGUGGGCGUGGCCCUCUGCUGCCACUCCAGCUCGUGGCUGCGGCCCUGGAUGCGGGCGCCCUCGGUGAGCAGCAGCACGGUGAUGCACCAGAAGUCGGUGCGGCCGAGCGUGAUGGCGAAGCCGCCGAGCAGGGCCACCGUGGCCGUGAUGAAGGCCAACGUGCCGAGGAGGCUCACGACCUUCUCGAGGACCGCGAGCUGCAUGGCCAGCACGGUGAGCCGGCGCUCCGGCGGCGCCACGUCGUCGCCGUCGCCGGAGCGGACGCAAGGGGUCAGUGUAUGUAUGGCCUUGUGCGGCUCGAACGGUGUGGUCGGCAGCUGGGGCUGGUCGGGGAUCUGGACGCAGACGCUCGGGACGACAGAGCUAGCGCGGCGAUCCAUCCUUUCCUUGUGUUACCUACGUGUAUAACUCGCUGCCGGUUUUAG
RNAcentral lists this ribosomal RNA (1158 nucleotides) under Triticum aestivum (bread wheat). RNAcentral describes it as "partial small subunit ribosomal RNA". The record is from RNAcentral. Lineage: Eukaryota; Viridiplantae; Streptophyta; Magnoliopsida; Poales; Poaceae.